UUUCAAAACAGUGAUUACAUAUAUGCAUAUGCACAUGUAACCCAAACAAAGGAAGCACACAAUUAUAUUUAGAAGUGUUGUCAAUCUGUAUUGGGGAAAGCAGAGACCAGAGUCCUACAUGCUGAUAGCUACCGAGAAGUCAUCACAUUCAGCAAUGCUGGAGAGUUGUUAAGCUCUAACCUGAAUCUCCUCUCCAAAGGCGAGAAACGAUGCUGGGUAUCUCCAAAGGCGGAGGCUUCCUGCCUCCAGCACAUGCAAGGAAACAAGGCAGCAAAUCAACCCAAGGCUAUUCCACAACCCAGGCAGAGUGAGGAAACUGGAAAAGCAGAGCUCCAACUGGGCAGAGCCAGAACCACAGAGGAAAAAGACAAGAUUCCUGCACUCAGGCAGUGGGGAACACUGGCCAUCCAGCCUAGAUGCAGCUCUGUGGCAUUUCUGGGAUCCUAGAGGGAGAAGGCUGCCAUCCUUACCAGGAUUCAUCCCGACUACUUGCCCCCAGUCAGAUGUUCUCCUCAGCCAAAUCACCCAAGGGUCAGACAGUUCCUAGUUAAUUAAUUACUGCUCUGUUCAUCCGGGUUCUCUGAUAUCAUGAUUAGUGCUUCCUCUUAACAAAGUUCAAGGGAGGCUGAGAUUUCCAGAAAAAUUCUUACUAACCUUCUGAAAGCCCAUGAGCAGUUUGAAGAGGUUCUUUCUCCAUGUCAAAAAGGGCAAUCAAGUCUCUGCAUGAGAGCCCUGCCUAGGCUACUUGAUCCACAAGGGCCCAGCUGCCCCCAGAUGGACAAAAGCAGCUGCCACUGAGGAACAAAGCCAAGUGGGGCAGCCAGGCCCAGUAUUUGUUUACACAGGGCCCCCUUAUACAGGCAGUACAGUCUCCAGACAAAGUGGUCAAAGUUGAUCACCACCUUUCUACCCUUCUGAUAGAGGAAGGUACUAUGCAGAGGCUACAAGUGUCACUAGCAAGAACUGACCCCAAGCUCAGGGACCUGUUUUCAACCCAUCAAACCAGAAACUUGAAGACAAAGACCAAAAGUUCCCCAGGUGUGGCAGAUACUGCAGCACAAGGAAGAAAUCACUACUCAGGAGGA
Perognathus longimembris pacificus (Pacific pocket mouse) is the source of this 1085-nucleotide long non-coding RNA. RefSeq lists it as uncharacterized. The record is from RefSeq and is a predicted model, not a curated record. The transcript is spliced from 3 exons. NCBI's taxonomy places the organism in Eukaryota, Metazoa, Chordata, Mammalia, Rodentia, Heteromyidae.